This is a long non-coding RNA of Acinonyx jubatus (cheetah), 4108 nucleotides long. RefSeq lists it as uncharacterized. The record is from RefSeq and is a predicted model, not a curated record. The transcript has 3 exons. Lineage: Eukaryota; Metazoa; Chordata; Mammalia; Carnivora; Felidae.
UGGAAAGGACACCCCGUGGGCAGAGAGAGGUAACUCUGGCUUAGGGUCCAAAGCUGUAACUUUACCCCGGGGGCCCCGGAAACCGCAACCCUCCUCAGCCCCCUGCCAGCCACACGUGGACCACCAGACAUCCCUGUGGCAGAAAGAAUGAUGGCCCCCAAAGACGCCCAGGAACCUGUGAACAUAUUACUUUACACGACACUCAAGGGCUGAUGCGAUUAAGUUAAGGCUCUUCAGACGCGAUCUUUACUCCAGAGCAUCUCCAUGGGCCUGAUGCCAUCGCAAGGGUCCUUCUCAGAGGAAAGCAGAAGGGCCAGAGUCAGAGAGCAGGAAGCCAGCGGAAGCGGGGAGCAGAGGAACCAAAAAGCGCAUCACAGCCUCUGCGCCCGGAAGAUUCUCCCCGGGCACUUCCGGAGAGAACCAGCCCCGCCCAGCACUUUCAUUUCAGCCCCUCCAGACUCGUUGUGGACCUCUGACCUCCAGAAUUGUACGGGAAUACGUUUGUGUUGUUCUAAACCCCUACGUUUGCGGAAAUUUGUCACAGCAGCAACGGGAAGGUAGAGGCACCGCGAAGAUCAGCUGGGAACCGUACCACUGCAUAUGAAUUAUCCCGGCCAGCAUGGAAGCUUAUCAUGAGACAAGCCCGCCCAGGUAUGCCUGGUUUUCUGCAGUGCGGUGUCGUGGAAAGAGCCAUCUACAAGUUGCAUCUUUGUAACCUGAGUUUUAUCUGCACGACUCAGAGAAGACAGCUAAAGGAACCCUUUGGUAUGCAGCGAGGAUGGAAAAGCACAUGAAUUAACACCCGGGUGUGCAAGAGCCAGGCACAGAGUCUGCUGGUGUGGAACAUACGCCUGGCAGAGAAAGCACCAUGGCCUGGGAACCAAGUCACCUGGACUCGUGUCCCACCUCUGACACUGACUGAGCCCUCUUUGGGCCUCUGCCAAAUAAAAGGGCAGCACGAUCAAUUUCUAGGCCUUAGUUCCCAUUCUGACAUUAUAGGACUCUAUGCAUAUCAUGUACCCCAAAUGGCCCUCAUCCACACGAGAUGUAUGACCCUGCCUGAGGCAGUUUGCACGGAACAGAAAUCAGAACCGUAAGCCACAGAGCGGAAGCUCCAAUGGUAGGAUUUCCAGUGUUAUCAUUAUGGGAAGAAUGGGGACAAUGUUGAGGACUGAGGGCGAGGUCUGCCAGGUCACAGGUGGUGCUUGAUCUACACAAGGUCAAGGUGUUCAGUCUGGGCCCAUGGGUACCAGCAAGCCCCUGGCACCCGGCUUGGGCUCCAGGUAUAAACUUAGGGGGUCUGUGGGCUCACUGUGGGCUGACUAUUUAGUUUUAAUGCCCAAAACCAAUUUUAAAUAAAAUAAAGGAACCCCCUAAAUAUUCUAGAUGGGGCUUUCUUUUUUUUAGAGGGACAUUUCAAGACUAGUUUCACACAGGUUUAGCCGAAAGGGAAAUUAAACUCUACAUUUAAAUGGGAGAUUACGCACAAAGGAAUCCAUUACUUUCAAUAUUUCUCAGCAGGAGGGCUCAGAGUUAUUUAAAUAAGUUUAGAUAUUAAACCUAAAGUAGCCAUUAAAGCAAUGUGGAUUUGUUUGUCUGUUUUUUUUUUUCCCCCAGAAAUCUUUUUUUCCAGCUGACUGAAAAAAUCCAUUGCUUAACCAAUGGAGGAUAUUUUAAUGCAUUAAAAAAAAUCCAGGACUUUUUAAUAUAGCACUUCCUUCGAAUUUUUAAGUAGCAUCUUACGGUAAGUGUCAUCCUUUGGACAGAUUAACCAAAGCGCAUUCCCUUCCCCGCCCCCACCCUGGGCAGAACAGCGCUAAUAUAAACACCGACAUUAAACCAUAUUGGCUAUGGAAGAGGCUUUGAUUGUCAUUGAGAUUAUUUUAAAAGUUAUUUAGGCCCCCCUGUUCCAUCUCUGCAAACCACUGAGAAAACGUUGCGCCGGGUUUCUCUUUGCGACAUUUCUUUGGGGAUUCAUAAAUAUUGAUUGUACCGUAAAAAAAUUGAUGGAAUCUUGAAACAGACUGCAGUUGAGGCAGCUGGGGAAUUUACUCAAUUUUUCUCAAUCGCUGCAGUCUAUAAAAAGAGGAGAUUUUGCAAAUUGUUUCUCACCUUGUCUUUUUAGUAUUUAAUAGCUCUCAAUUCUAUAGCCUUCUGAACCAUGCGCUGGGCAUGUUUUCUAUCAAAACAGAAUCAGGCCUAUUCAAUGGGAAUUAAAAGGUGGGAGCCGGUUAUGAGUGGGUUAAACUCUGCCCUGUCCUCCACCUUCUCUCUUCCUCCCCUCCUGGCACCUUCUCUCAGUUUUCUGUGUCCUGCUGCUUUGGUCAUAGCCCUGCACCUAUCCCACAGAUGCCCACAUUGUGCCUUGGAUUAUCCCUUCUCCUCCUGUCCCAGGGCCAUGAUGGAAAUGAAGUCAAAGAAGCGAAUGUCAGAGGCUCGCUGUGGUCCUGCCUUUCACCACACUUGGUAGCUAUUAAACCACACUUCUAGCAAGAGAACCCUGCUCUCCCUUUAUACAGCAAAACUCUUCACCAUCCUGGCAUCCUGCCCUCCAUCUGGCUCCAAACUACCUCUUUAAUCUUAUUCUCACCACUGUCCUUCUGGAACCCUAGUGUCUUUGGUCCCCUCGUUGUCUGUCCCUCAAAACAACUACUACAGGCUUAUACUUUUCCAUCAUUCCUGGAAUGUUCUCCUUACCUUCCUUCUGUGGCGGGCAGAAUAAUGUCAUCCUGACCCUCUGCCCCCAUGUCUACAUUCUAAUUCCCAGAACCUGUGAAUCUGUUAAUUUAUGUGGUAAAGGGAAACUAAGGUUGCUAAUCAGCUGACCUUAAGAUAGAGGGAUUAUCCUGAAUUAUCCCUUGGGGCCCCGUGUAAUCACACGAUCUUUAAAAGUGGCAGGGGGAAUUGGAAGGAGGCAUCCGAGAGACGGCAGCAUGAGAAAGAGCCCCAACAUGGCUGGCUUUGGAGGAUGGGGCCAUGAGCCAAGGAAGGCAGGUGGCCUUUAUAAGCUAGAAAGGACGCCAUAAAAGGCAAGGAAACAGAGUCUCCCAUGGAACCUCUAGAAAGAACUGGUCCUGGAAACACCUUGAUUUUACCCAGGGAGACCUGUGCUGAAAUUCUGACCUGCAGAACUGAAAGAUAAUAUAUUCGUGCUGUUUGAAGCCACUAAGUUUGUGGUAAUCACCCUUAACCACACCUGCCAAGUCCAUUUAGCCACAUAGGGUAACAUUCACAGGUUCCGGGGAUUAGGGUGAUUCUAAUCUUUGGGGGUGAUUAUCCAGCCUGCCACACUGGAUAACAAGAGGUGGCUCUGCCAGCUCCUGGACGAGAACCUAAGGAUAGGGAGGGGAUAAGCCCAGUCAAUUGACAUUGAAAUUAUUGUUGGGUUCAAUGUUGGGAUUUCUCAUAGGAGGCAUAGGACAUGGCAUUGAUCUCAUUGAUCUUGAAUUAAUCAUCCAUGGAAGCAAGUAGAAACCCCUUUUGUCUUAGCCAUUGAAUUAUUUUUUCUCUUGUUACACUUUGCCAUCUGAGGUCCAGUGACUUGUCCAAGAUUCUACACAGCCGGUGAAUUUAUAAAUCACACAUGGCACCUGAAUGGGCCUGAGAUGAACCCUCCUUGGAGGUAUCUGUAGGCUCAAGAUGCUCUAAAUGAGGGGAGCCAGUCCUUGAUGACAAUCCCCUCUCUACUCCACAAGACACAAAGCAUGAAAACAUCAAAGCAUCAUGUAUCAAAUGUAUAUUAUGUGAGGAGCCCUGCGCUGGAGCCCCUGCCCUCAAGGAGCUUCCAGGCUGAUAAGUAGUUGGGAGCUGUCCACGGAGGGUUUCAAUACCAACCAUACGAUAUUAAGUAGUCUGAAAGUGUUGAGGAGAGAGGGCAUCCAUGCGGGAUGUGGAUGGUCUCAUGGUGGUGGUAGGGUUGGUAAGGGAAAUAAUGGGUAGCUAGAAAGGGGUGGAGUGGCUUGGAAGGAUACCCCAGGCAGAAAGAGCAGAAUAAUAAGCAAAGAAGCAGAGUAGAAAAUCUCAUGCCUAUGAGGGAAGCCAUGAGAAGAAGUGCAGUCCAGGGAUAAGAAGGUAGGGUUUCAGGUUUCUGGAUUUUCCUUAAUCAUGG